UACCAGCACCCCGAGUGGUCGGGACGAUUAUUGGGCCUAAAGCAUCCGUAGCCGGUUCUACAAGUCUUCCGUUAAAUCCACCUGCUUAACAGAUGGGCUGCGGAGGAUACUAUAGAGCUAGGAGGCGGGAGAGGCAAGCGGUACUUAGUGGGUAGGGGUAAAAUCCGUUGAUCCAUUGAAGACCACCAGUGGCGAAGGCGGCUACCUGGACAAUUGCUGACGCUCAGGCACGAAAGCGUGGGGAGCAAAAGGG
RNAcentral lists this ribosomal RNA (253 nucleotides) under uncultured bacterium. Its description in RNAcentral is "partial 16S ribosomal RNA". It matches the Rfam family "Archaeal small subunit ribosomal RNA", at positions 474 to 727 of the family's 1478-position model. The record is from RNAcentral.